Molecule: ribosomal RNA, 556 nt
Filed under: Setipinna tenuifilis (common hairfin anchovy)
Lineage: Eukaryota; Metazoa; Chordata; Actinopteri; Clupeiformes; Engraulidae
Description: partial 16S ribosomal RNA
Rfam family: Bacterial large subunit ribosomal RNA
Source: RNAcentral
UCCCACCUGCCCUGUGACCAAAAGUUUAACGGCCGCGGUAUCCUAACCGUGCGAAGGUAGCGCAAUCAAUUGCCUUUUAAAUGAAGGCCUGUAUGAAUGGUAUUACGAGGGUUUAACUGUCUCUUUUCCCAAGUCAGUUAAAUUGAUCCGUCCGUGCAGAAGCGGACAUAAAAAUACAAGACGAGAAGACCCUAUGGAGCUUUAGACACUAACCAACUUAUGAAAAGCAACACGAACAUAAACGUGACACAAACACCCAUAAAACUGGCAUAACUGUCUUAGGUUGGGGCGACCACGGGAGAAAACAAAGCUCCCAAGCAGACCAGGGAUACCCUGAAACCAAGAGUUACAACUCUAAGCCACAAAAACUUUGACUGUAAUGAUCCGGCCACAGCCGAUUAACGGACCAAGUUACCCUAGGGAUAACAGCGCAAUCCCCUCCCAGAGUCCAUAUCGACAAGGGGGUUUACGACCUCGAUGUUGGAUCAGGACAUCCUAAUGGUGCAACCGCUAUUAAGGGUUCGUUUGUUCAACGAUUAAAGUCCUACAUGAUCUG